UGGGCGGAGCUCACAUUCAACGUUUCUUGGGUCUAAAUCUUCCGGGCAGCUGUCUACACUUUGGCUCAGGUACCAUCUGCUGACUUCCCACAUCAGAAGAAUGAUCUUCAACCCAAGACACAGGCAAAGAGAGCAUCUAACUGCUUAAAAUGAGAGCAGGAAUGGCUGUUGGCUUAGAUAGAUGGCACCCCAGAGUCCUGAAAGAACUUGCAGAUGUGAUCACAGGACCAUCUGAACCGGAGAAACCGGGGGGAAUGGAGAGACAGCAAAAGACCGGAGAUGGGAAUCUACUUACCAAGAUGGCAGGAGCAAGUGGUUAUCAGAGCCUGCUCUCUAGAAAUACAAUUAAACAAGCAGCCCCUGUCUCUUUUUCUCCACUUUCAGUCUUGGGGAAGGGAUUGGAAUAUGUGAGCAGGAGAGAAGGGUCAUGUUGGAGCAGCCAGGACUCAGAGCCUUUCCGCAGACUGAGUCUGGAUCCUUUCCUUCAGCCUCCAGGAAUACUCCCGGCUCCACACCCAGAAUGGUAAUCCAGGCAAGGGCUCUGGUGUGUGGCCACACUGCCACCUAUUACCUGCGGGUCCAAAUGCAGUGACUCAACUUCUCUGUGCCUCUCUUUCCACAUGUAUAAAAUGAGGAUAAUGUUGCUAUUGUAAGAAUUGCAUCAAUUAAUAAACAGCACUCAGUGAA
Molecule: long non-coding RNA, 687 nt
Filed under: Homo sapiens (human)
Lineage: Eukaryota; Metazoa; Chordata; Mammalia; Primates; Hominidae
Description: long intergenic non-protein coding RNA 1895
Source: RNAcentral